Molecule: ribosomal RNA, 515 nt
Filed under: uncultured bacterium
Lineage: Bacteria
Description: bacterial SSU rRNA
Rfam family: Bacterial small subunit ribosomal RNA
Source: RNAcentral
CACGGUAAACGAUGGAUGCCCGCUGUUUGCGAUAUAUUGUAAGCGGCCGAGCGAAAGCGUUAAGCAUCCCACCUGGGGAGUACGCCGGCAACGGUGAAACUCAAAGGAAUUGACGGGGGCCCGCACAAGCGGAGGAACAUGUGGUUUAAUUCGAUGAUACGCGAGGAACCUUACCCGGGCUUGAACUGCAGCAGAACGACUCAGAGAUGGUGAGGCCCUUCGGGGCUGCUGUGGAGGUGCUGCAUGGUUGUCGUCAGCUCGUGCCGUGAGGUGUCGGCUUAAGUGCCAUAACGAGCGCAACCCCUUUCGCCAGUUGCCAUCAGGUGAUGCUGGGCACUCCGGCGACACUGCCACCGCAAGGUGUGAGGAAGGUGGGGAUGGCGUCAAAUCAGCACGGCCCUUACGUCCGGGGCUACACACGUGUCACAAUGGGGAGUACAGAGAGUCAGCGUCCGGCAACGUCCGCUUAAUCUAGAAAGCUCUCCUCAGUUCGGAUUGGGGUCUGCAACCCGACC